Molecule: long non-coding RNA, 1016 nt
Organism: Daphnia pulicaria
Lineage: Eukaryota; Metazoa; Arthropoda; Branchiopoda; Diplostraca; Daphniidae
Exons: 6
Source: RefSeq, a predicted model, not a curated record
UCGAUUUUGAAUCAUUUUCAUUUCAAAUUGAUUCACACACAUAGCAGACGCCAACACAUCAAGCGUCAUCAAUAGCGUGGUCUAUGGUGCAAUGCUAUCGCUGGAGUAAGGCGUUUCCCUUCAAUUCGGGUAGCGUCAUGAUUGGACUACCCUGAUGGCGUCAUGAUCGCUGCUGAUUGCCUUUCCAAUAGGUUUUCAGCAUUCUGCUUACACCUUUGGCCACAUAUUUCACAAUCCAACAUCAAUUGGUACCAACAGCAGCCCUUCUCUCCAUCAUCCAGAAGGGUCUGAGAUCAGUAUUGGAGAUGAUGGUUCGGAACAACCCAUGGAAAGCUUAUCACUCAUUGAUGCUGUGAUGCCUGAUGUUGUUGCAAGUCGUCAACAGCAAACACAGAACAAUCAGAAACCACAAGUGGUAAAGACAGAACCACCAAAUUCCAAUGGAGAUGAACCCAUGCAUUCCUAUCGCUGGGACGAGGAAACAGGAGUAGAGAUACCUGCCAGCAAAUCAACUGUACUUUGUGGCCAUGAAUCUGAAGUUUUCAUCUGCGCCUGAACCCAACAACUGUUUUAUUGGCUUCUGGCUAUGGUGAUAGUACUGCCAGAAUUUGGAACAUGAAUGACAACCCGUCUUCACCAACUCAACUUGUUAUUAGGCAUUGCAUUCAGAAGGGUGGAACUGAAGUUCCGAGCAACAAAGAUGUCACCUCACUUGACUGUGUGAUGGAACUCUGCUUGCAACUGGCUCUUACGAUGGUUACGCUCGCAUUUGGACAACUGAUGGAAGAUUAGCUAGCACUUUGGGACAGCAUAAAGGACCUACUGUCGCACUACAAUGGAACAAAAAUGGCAACUAUAUCCUCAGUGCUGGAUUCGACAAAACGACCAUCAUUUGGGACGCUUCAACGAGUCAGUGCACGCAGCAGUUGGCUUUCCAUUUCGCCCCAGCACUCGAUGUAGAUUGGCAGUCGAAUGUCAGUUUUGCCUCAUGCUCCACUGACCAGUGUAUUCAUGUU